RNAcentral lists this ribosomal RNA (1318 nucleotides) under metagenome. RNAcentral describes it as "bacterial LSU rRNA". It matches the Rfam family "Bacterial large subunit ribosomal RNA", at positions 1628 to 2925 of the family's 2925-position model. The record is from RNAcentral.
GAGGAGAAAGGUGCCCGUACCGUAAACCGACACAGGUAGGUAGGGAGAGAAUCCCAAGGCGCGCGAGAGAACCCUCGCUAAGGAACUCGGCAAAAUGACCCCGUAACUUAGGGAGAAGGGGUGCUCCGCUAGUGUGAAUAUUAUUUACUGAUAUGAGCAUGAGGGAGCCGCAGUGAUCAGGCCCAGGCGACUGUUUACCAAAAACACAGGUCUCUGCAAAAUCGAAAGAUGAAGUAUAGAGGCUGACGCCUGCCCGGUGCCGGAAGGUUAAGAGGAGAGCUUAGCGGUAACGCGAAGGUUUGAGCCGAAGCCCCGGUGAACGGCGGCCGUAACAAUAACGGUCCUAAGGUAGCGAAAUUCCUUGUCUGGUAAGUUCAGACCCGCACGAAAGGCGUAACGAUCUGGGCACUGUCUCGACGAGGGGCUCGGUGAAAUUGUAAUACCGGUGAAGAUGCCGGUUACCUGCGAUAGGACAGAAAGACCCCGUGGAGCUUUACUGCAGCUUGAUAUUGGAUUUUGGUAAUGCAUGUACAGGAUAGGUGGGAGACAGGGAAAGCAGUUCGCAAGGACUGCUGGAGUCACCGGUGGGAUACCACUCUUGGAUUACUGGAGUUCUAACCUGGCACCGUGAACCGGUGUAGGGACAGUGUCUGGCGGGCAGUUUGACUGGGGCGGUCGCCUCCAAAAGAGUAACGGAGGCGCCCAAAGGUUUCCUCAGCGCGGAUGGAAAUCGCGCGAAGAGUGUAAAGGCAUAAGGGAGCUUGACUGCGAGACAGACAUGUCGAGCAGGGACGAAAGUCGGGCUUAGUGAUCCGGCGGUACCGAGUGGAAGGGCCGUCGCUCAUCGGAUAAAAGCUACCCCGGGGAUAACAGGCUUAUCUCCCCCAAGAGUUCACAUCGACGGGGAGGUUUGGCACCUCGAUGUCGGCUCAUCACAUCCUGGGGCUGGAGAAGGUCCCAAGGGUUGGGCUGUUCGCCCAUUAAAGUGGUACGUGAGCUGGGUUCAGAACGUCGUGAGACAGUUCGGUCCCUAUCCAUCGCAGGCGCAGGAGAAUUGAGAGGAUCUGUCCCUAGUACGAGAGGACCGGGAUGGACAGACCGCUGGUGUACCAGUUGUUCCGCCAGGAGCAUAGCUGGGUAGCUAUGUCUGGAAGUGAUAAGCGCUGAAAGCAUCUAAGCGCGAAGCCAACCUCAAGAUGAGUUCUCCCACUUCGUAAGAAGGUAAGGUCCCACAGAGAAUAUGUGGUUGAUAGGCCGGAGGUGUAAGUGUAGUGAUGCAUUAAGCUGACCGGUACUAAUAGACCGAGGGCUUGACCAA